UCCUAUAAGGGUUGGGAGUAUUACCAACCCUUAUAGGGAACAUGUAGCAAGUAUCA
RNAcentral lists this non-coding RNA (56 nucleotides) under unclassified sequences. RNAcentral describes it as "ssNA-helicase RNA". It matches the Rfam family "ssNA-helicase RNA". Rfam says of the family: Firmicutes, Actinobacteria (1 example). Downstream gene The record is from Rfam by way of RNAcentral.